CCCUUAGAUGUUCUGGGCUGCACGCGCGCUACACUGAAGCGUUCAACGAGUAUUUCACCUUGCCCGGGAGGGUUGGGUAAUCUUUUUAAAACGCUUCGUGAUGGGGAUAGAUUAUUGCAAUUAUUAAUCUUCAACGAGGAGUUCCUAGUAAGCGCGAGUCAUCAGCUCGUGCUGAUUACGUCCCUGCCCUUUGUACACACCGCCCGUCACUCCUACCGAUUGAGUGAUCCGGUGAAUAAUUCGGACUGCAGCAGUGCUUGGUCCUCCGGGCUUUGCAGCGGAAAGUUUAGUGAACCUUAUCACUUAGAGGGAGGAGAAGUCGUAACA
This 327-nucleotide ribosomal RNA is filed under the name uncultured eukaryote. RNAcentral describes it as "partial 18S ribosomal RNA". It matches the Rfam family "Eukaryotic small subunit ribosomal RNA", at positions 1470 to 1796 of the family's 1831-position model. The record is from RNAcentral.